RNAcentral lists this ribosomal RNA (497 nucleotides) under uncultured bacterium. RNAcentral describes it as "partial 16S ribosomal RNA". It matches the Rfam family "Bacterial small subunit ribosomal RNA", at positions 28 to 507 of the family's 1533-position model. The record is from RNAcentral.
GAUGAACGCUGGCGGCGUGCCUAAUACAUGCAAGUCGAGCGAACAGACGAGGAGCUUGCUCCUCUGACGUUAGCGGCGGACGGGUGAGUAACACGUGGAUAACCUACCUAUAAGACUGGGAUAACUUCGGGAAACCGGAGCUAAUACCGGAUAAUAUAUUGAACCGCAUGGUUCAAUAGUGAAAGACGGUUUUGCUGUUACUUAUAGAUGGAUCCGCGCCGCAUUAGCUAGUUGGUAAGGUAACGGCUUACCAAGGCAACGAUGCGUAGCCGACCUGAGAGGGUGAUCGGCCACACUGGAACUGAGACACGGUCCAGACUCCUACGGGAGGCAGCAGUGGGGAAUCUUCCGCAAUGGGCGAAAGCCUGACGGAGCAACGCCGCGUGAGUGAUGAAGGUCUUCGGGUCGUAAAGCUCUGUUAUUAGGGAAGAACAAAUGUGUAAGUAACUAUGCACGUCUUGACGGUACCUAAUCAGAAAGCCACGGCUAACUACGUG